UACGUAGGGCGCAAGCGUUGUCCGGAAUUAUUGGGCGUAAAGAGCUCGUAGGCGGUCUGUCGCGUCGGUUGUGAAAACACAAGGCUCAACCUUGUGCCUGCAAUCGAUACGGGCAGACUAGAGUACUGCAGGGGAGACUGGAAUCCCUGGUGUAGCGGUGGAAUGCGCAGAUAUCAGGAGGAACACCGGUGGCGAAGGCGGGUCUCUGGGCAGUAACUGACGCUGAGGAGCGAAAGCGUGGGGAGCAAACAGG
This 253-nucleotide ribosomal RNA is filed under the name uncultured bacterium. Its description in RNAcentral is "partial 16S ribosomal RNA". It matches the Rfam family "Bacterial small subunit ribosomal RNA", at positions 524 to 776 of the family's 1533-position model. The record is from RNAcentral.